Molecule: ribosomal RNA, 368 nt
Filed under: uncultured organism
Description: bacterial SSU rRNA
Rfam family: Bacterial small subunit ribosomal RNA
Source: RNAcentral
CGGGAGGAUCCCAAGCGUUAUCCGGAAUCAUUGGGUUUAAAGGGUCCGUAGGCGGGUUUAUAAGUCAGUGGUGAAAGCCCAUCGCUCAACGAUGGAACGGCCAUUGAUACUGUAGAUCUUGAAUUAUUAGGAAGUAACUAGAAUAUGUAGUGUAGCGGUGAAAUGCUUAGAGAUUACAUGGAAUACCAAUUGCGAAGGCAGGUUACUACUAAUGGAUUGACGCUGAUGGACGAAAGCGUGGGUAGCGAACAGGACUAGAUACCCUGGUAGUCCACGCCGUAAACGAUGGAUACUAGCUGUUCGGAGCAAUCUGAGUGGCUAAGCGAAAGUGAUAAGUAUCCCACCUGGGGAGUACGUUCGCAAGAAUG